Molecule: ribosomal RNA, 419 nt
Filed under: uncultured bacterium
Lineage: Bacteria
Description: bacterial SSU rRNA
Rfam family: Bacterial small subunit ribosomal RNA
Source: RNAcentral
UGAGGAAUAUUGCACAAUGGGCGCAAGCCUGAUGCAGCGACGCCGCGUGUGGGAUGAAGGGGCUACGCCUCGUAAACCACUGUAGCCCGGGACGAAAAACGCCCUAGAGGCGUUAGACGGUACCGGGAAAGUAAGGGUCGGCUAACUACGUGCCAGCAGCCGCGGUAAUACGUAGGACCCAAGCGUUGUCCGGAUUUACUGGGUGUAAAGGGUGCGCAGGCGGAUGGGUAAGUCAGGGGUGAAAGUCUGCAGCUUAACUGUAGAAUUGCCUUUGAUACUGCUCAUCUUGAGUGUGGGAGAGGUUGAUGGAAUUCCAGGUGUAGCAGUGAAAUGCGUAGAUAUCUGGAAGAACACCAGUGGCGAAGGCGGUCAACUGGCCCAUAACUGACGCUCAUGCACGAAAGCGUGGGGAGCAAACA